GCUGAGGUAGCUCAGCCUGGGAGAGCGCUCGGCUGAAGACCGAGUUGUCGCCGGUUCAAACCCGGCCCUCGGCA
Molecule: transfer RNA, 74 nt
Filed under: Methanosarcinales archaeon
Lineage: Archaea; Methanobacteriati; Methanobacteriota; Methanomicrobia; Methanosarcinales
Description: tRNA-Phe
Rfam family: tRNA
About the family: Transfer RNA (tRNA) molecules are approximately 80 nucleotides in length. Their secondary structure includes four short double-helical elements and three loops (D, anti-codon, and T loops). Further hydrogen bonds mediate the characteristic L-shaped molecular structure. tRNAs have two regions of fundamental functional importance: the anti-codon, which is responsible for specific mRNA codon recognition, and the 3' end, to which the tRNAs corresponding amino acid is attached (by aminoacyl-tRNA synthetases). tRNAs cope with the degeneracy of the genetic code in two manners: having more than one tRNA (with a specific anti-codon) for a particular amino acid; and 'wobble' base-pairing, i.e. permitting non-standard base-pairing at the 3rd anti-codon position.
Source: RNAcentral